AAAAAACAAAUAAUGAAACCUCAUAUAAUUUUGGGAAUAUGGCCCAUAAGUUUCUACCCGACCGCCACAUUGGUCGGACUAUGAGGGGAAGUUAACACCAU
Molecule: non-coding RNA, 101 nt
Filed under: Bacillus sp. (in: firmicutes)
Lineage: Bacteria; Bacillati; Bacillota; Bacilli; Caryophanales; Bacillaceae
Description: Bacillus sp. Guanine sequence
Rfam family: Purine riboswitch aptamer
About the family: Riboswitches are metabolite binding domains within certain messenger RNAs that serve as precision sensors for their corresponding targets.
Source: RNAcentral